GCCAUCUUAGCUCAGCUGGUAGAGCAACGCAUUCGUAAUGCGUAGGUCAGCGGUUCGAUUCCGCUAGAUGGCU
Molecule: transfer RNA, 73 nt
Filed under: Chlorobiota bacterium
Lineage: Bacteria; Pseudomonadati; Chlorobiota
Description: tRNA-Thr
Rfam family: tRNA
About the family: Transfer RNA (tRNA) molecules are approximately 80 nucleotides in length. Their secondary structure includes four short double-helical elements and three loops (D, anti-codon, and T loops). Further hydrogen bonds mediate the characteristic L-shaped molecular structure. tRNAs have two regions of fundamental functional importance: the anti-codon, which is responsible for specific mRNA codon recognition, and the 3' end, to which the tRNAs corresponding amino acid is attached (by aminoacyl-tRNA synthetases). tRNAs cope with the degeneracy of the genetic code in two manners: having more than one tRNA (with a specific anti-codon) for a particular amino acid; and 'wobble' base-pairing, i.e. permitting non-standard base-pairing at the 3rd anti-codon position.
Source: RNAcentral